GCUGAACCAACAGAUCCCGGCGAGCCAUCACGUCCUGCACCUGGCUACGGAGAAAGAACACCUCGCCAAUCAACCUCCAGUGAGCAUCCACCAAUGCAUCAUGAUUAGAUACGGCUUUAGCACCCGAUUAAGAGGUGGAAGAUAAACCAUUAACCGAUGAAGUAGCCCUCGCCAAUCUUGGCGGAGGGGUAUAAAAAGGACACAUUUUCCGUGUUUUAGCCUUCUGGUGCUCAUCAUAGAUGGCGGACACCCAGAGCCUCACCACGUUCCCCGUGAGAAAGCAACGUAAGAAAAAAGAAGAUGGAGUCCUAUCAUGUGAAAACUAAAAGGGGAGGGCUUACCCCAAAUACGGCUGUGAUGCAAGGCCUCCUUGCUUACCAGAAAAGUCACCCAUCAGAAUCGCAGGGGAACUCCCAUUAUAAGCUUCGCUACUGCUUCUCCAGCAAAGGAAACCGGACGAGAUACAUCUGAUGGCAAAAAACCAAGCAUCACUAAGAACGAGGUCCCAAAGGGACGAUAAACUCAAGGCUUGAAUAAAAGAGAAGAGCUUACCGACGGUACGCCAGGACGUAGGAUAUCCAAAGGGCUCCUGGAUCUUCACGAAUGCAU
Molecule: long non-coding RNA, 609 nt
Filed under: Brassica napus (rape)
Lineage: Eukaryota; Viridiplantae; Streptophyta; Magnoliopsida; Brassicales; Brassicaceae
Description: long non-coding RNA (BNAP_LNC011301)
Source: RNAcentral